This 663-nucleotide ribosomal RNA is filed under the name uncultured archaeon. Its description in RNAcentral is "bacterial SSU rRNA". It matches the Rfam family "Archaeal small subunit ribosomal RNA", at positions 691 to 1353 of the family's 1478-position model. The record is from RNAcentral.
CCGACGGUGAGGGAUGAAGCCUAGGGGCACGAACCGGAUUAGAUACCCGGGUAGUCCUAGGUGUAAACGCUGUGGACUUGAUGUUGGGGGUGCUCCGAGCACUCUCAGUGUCGAAGCGAAGGUGAUAAGUCCACUGCCUGGGAAGUACGGUCGCAAGGCUGAAACUUAAAGGAAUUGGCGGGGGAGCACCGCAACCUGAGGAUUGUGCGGUUUAAUUGGAUUCAACGCCGGAAAACUCACCAUAGCCGACGGACAAAUGAAGGUCAGUGUAAUGAACUUACCGGAUUGUUCGAGAGGUAGUGCAUGGCCGCCGUCAGUUCGUACCGCAAGGCGUUCUGUUAAGUCAGAUAACGAACGAGACCCUCAUCUCUAUUUGCUAACUGGAUCUCCGGAUCCAGUGCACUAUAGGGAGACCGCUGGCGCUAAGUCAGAGGAAGGGGAGGGCAACGGUAGGUCAGUAUGCUCCGAAUGCUAUGGGCUACACGCGCAAUACAAAGGACAGGACAAUGGGCUGCUGCUCCGAAAGGAAUGAUAGCUAUCCCGAAACCUGUUCGUAGUUCGGAUUGAGGGCUGUAACUCGCCCUCAUGAAGCUGGAUUAGGUAGUAAUCGCGUCUCAAAAAGGCGCGGUGAAUAUGCCCCUGCUCCUUGCACACACCGCCCGU